This 69-nucleotide transfer RNA is filed under the name Catellatospora coxensis. RNAcentral's name for it is "tRNA-Thr". Lineage: Bacteria; Bacillati; Actinomycetota; Actinomycetes; Micromonosporales; Micromonosporaceae. The record is from RNAcentral.
CGCGGCGCAGAGCGGGCCCGUGCGGGUUCGUGGCCCGCGCGGCACGAGUUCGUCUCGCGACGGCGCGGC